Molecule: ribosomal RNA, 253 nt
Filed under: uncultured bacterium
Lineage: Bacteria
Description: partial 16S ribosomal RNA
Rfam family: Bacterial small subunit ribosomal RNA
Source: RNAcentral
UACGGAGGGUGCGAGCGUUAAUCGGAAUUACUGGGCGUAAAGCGCACGUAGGUGGUUGGGUAAGUCGGAUGUGAAAGCCCUGGGCUUAACCUGGGAACUGCAUUCGAUACUGCCCGGCUAGAGUAUGGGAGAGGGAAGCAGAAUUUCCGGUGUAGCGGUGAAAUGCGUAGAUAUCGGAAGGAAUACCAAUGGCGAAGGCAGCUUCCUGGCCCAAUACUGACGCUCAGGUGCGAAAGCGUGGGGAUCAAACAGG